UAAAAAAAAAAUCUAAAAACGCUUCUUCGGUGAAAGCAAACGACUUAUUCAAAAACGCUUCUUCGGUGAAAGCUAACGACUUAUUCAAAAACGCUUCUUCGGAGAAGUACCUUUUUAGCGAUUGAACAGAAGCUAUGGAAACCUAGAAACGCUCCACCGAUUGAAGAUUCACAACCAUCGAUUGAAGAUUCACAACCACAAAAGUUAUUCUCGCCGUUCUUCUAAGUACAUAGACGACGGUGAUUCUCGCCGUUCUUCUCGCACGCUCUAUUAAUUGAAUUUUUGCUGUUUCGUUUUGUUUAAUUGUGGUUUAUUUUUGAAGUGUUUGUUUACUGGUUAUGCUGAAUGCUGCUGAUAUUUCUUUUUGUGGCAGAUUUAGGGUUUAUUAGAAUGGUUUUUGUAUGCUGCGUUAGAAAUUAGUACAGCACAGAAUGAUUGUAGUUCAAACUCUAGUAAGCAAUGAACUCCAACAUCUAUCCUUCAUGCCCUGCAUUGCUGAUUGAAGGAAUUCUAAGCCAAAAUCAUGGUUUAUGUGUCUUUUAGGUUCCUUAAUUAUAUAUGGUCACUAUAAUUGUGAAUGAUAUCUUAAAAUAGGAGUUAUAGUCAUUGCAUAAAUAUGAGUUGAAUUUGGUGAUAAGGCAUAUAUAUGGUUGUAUGUGCAUAUUAAAUUUAACUGAUGGUGAUAAGGCGUAUACUAAUAUACUAGUAUGGACUUAGGUGCAAGAGGGAGCUCUGGAGGGUUCAGUACGCUCUUAGUCGGAUCUGUAACAAUGAAAGGAAUCUGUUGACACUGGAUGAGAAGAACCCUCAUCGGAUCUUUGAAGGUGAAGCACUUUUGAGGAGAAUGUUUCAAUAUGGUCUUCUUGAUGAAACUCAGAAACCAUAUCUUUUACUUAAUCUUUGUUUUUUGAGGCUCGCUACUGCUAGGAGUGAUAACAGUUUUUGGGGUGAAUCUUCCUAAAUAUUUUCAAGCUUGUAGUCUAAAUGAAGACCGUGGCGGAACACGAAUCAUCCACUGUUUCUGACAGUAGCUUCAGUACCUCUUCACACACUGACACAAAGGCUUGUUAAAUUAAUUAAUUCUAUUGGAUGUGGAUUAAUUAAUUAAAGAGAUUAGUUUCAUUACGGUGCAGAAGUUAAAUAAGGCGGAGGACCAGUACAGAGAAUGGAGAGAGCUACUGCAGAAGUGUGAUAAAUUACUAAACAGUAUAGCGGAAAUAACUGAGUUACAACAACCGAGUCCCGUAUUAGUUCUUGACUCGUAGUUUACAAAGACGACUCGUCGUGCUCACCAUCUCUAGUAAUGAAAAGAUGCAUUGAAUAUAAAGAUGGGGCAUUAUGCUGCUGUAUGGAACUUUAGAGCAGCAGCUGAACUUACAAAGGGCUGGAAUGGAAUUGAUCAAGUUGUACUUCGGACGCCACAAGGUACUUUGGCACGGGUUGUACUCACGAAAGAUGUUAAGGAUGACUUGGCCGAAGAACUAGAUGCCAUUUUUAUAGUUUUUUACAUAGCGGUCAUUAUCUUCAGGGCGUUGCUGUAGAAGAGAUCAAUCGUAUAUGCAGAUUGGCUGGUUGUCUUCUUGCAGUUCUUUAUGGAGUCAACAUCAACAGUUAUUGCACAUGGUGUCCAUAUGUCGACUGUAUCCCUUUCACAAGCUGGCACUGCAAAGACAAAGAAACCUUUUGUGAGCAUUACAUUGUAUCAAAAUCUAUAUUUUGAGGGACUAUAUCUUCUUCAUCAAUUGCAAGUGCCAUGAUUAAUCUUAUUCCAGGAGUUACAUUUGUAAUAGCAGCCUUUGUAGGCUUGAUAGGUGCAAUUGGAGUAAUUAUUGGUCUGUAUAUUGUGCUUUGGGGUAAAGCUGGAGAUAUAAUUGAUGUCAAAGAGCCGCCAAAAAAGUCCAAGAAAAAGAAUAUAUCAACUCAACAUGAAGUCACUCAACCUCAACUCACUCAACCCCAACGCAAUCAACCAACCUAUUCCGUAUCUCACCCUUUAUCAAACACUUGGUAGCACGCACACUUGGUUUCGACAUUGUUUGCGUUCUGAAAUUUUCCCUAAAUUAUGUGUUUUCAAAUUCAAUUUUCUGCAAUUAGAAUAUGAGUGUUCGUAUGCCUAAUUUUGACAUGAGUUGUUAAUGAAUGUUUUAGCUGGAUGAGAACUUGUUGUUUGUGCUAGAUAUUAUUUAGGUGGGAUUAUGUAUGUGAUUGUAGAUAUUAAUACCAAAUAUUAUUUCUAGUAUAAACCUUUGUAUAUUGAUAGAGAA
Molecule: RNA transcript, 2264 nt
Organism: Vicia villosa (hairy vetch)
Lineage: Eukaryota; Viridiplantae; Streptophyta; Magnoliopsida; Fabales; Fabaceae
Exons: 7
Source: RefSeq, a predicted model, not a curated record